RNAcentral lists this antisense RNA (101 nucleotides) under Photobacterium halotolerans. Its description in RNAcentral is "Vibrio RNA AS9". It matches the Rfam family "Vibrio RNA AS9". From Rfam's summary of the family: Identified by direct cloning an parallel sequencing experiments with 5S/tRNA depletion. Confirmed by Northern blot. The record is from Rfam by way of RNAcentral. Lineage: Bacteria; Pseudomonadati; Pseudomonadota; Gammaproteobacteria; Vibrionales; Vibrionaceae.
CCGACAACGGGCCUGCGUCAGUGUCAGACAGAUCAGGCCACGACCGUGAGUGGCCAUAAAAUUGAUCGCUUCAGGGGUCACUUUCUCCGCGGCAAUGAUCA